Molecule: ribosomal RNA, 452 nt
Filed under: uncultured bacterium
Lineage: Bacteria
Description: bacterial SSU rRNA
Rfam family: Bacterial small subunit ribosomal RNA
Source: RNAcentral
AGCGAACGCUGGCGGCAGGCCUAACACAUGCAAGUCGAGCGCCCCGCAAGGGGAGCGGCAGACGGGAGAGUAACACGUGGGAACGUACCCUUCAGUUCGGAACAACCCAGGGAAACUUGGGCUAAUACCGGAUACGUCCGUAAGGAGAAAGAUUUAUCGCUGAAGGAUCGGCCCGCGUCUGAUUAGCUAGUUGGUGAGGUAACGGCUCACCAAGGCGACGAUCAGUAGCUGGUCUGAGAGGAUGAUCAGCCUCACUGGGACUGAGACACGGCCCAGACUCCUACGGGAGGCAGCAGUGGGGAAUAUUGGACAAUGGGCGCAAGCCUGAUCCAGCCAUGCCGCGUGGAUGAUGAAGGCCCUAGGGUUGUAAAGUCCUUUCGGCGGGGAAGAUAAUGACGGUACCCGCAGAAGAAGCCCCGGCUAACUUCGUGCCAGCAGCCGCGGUAAUAAUA